RNAcentral lists this microRNA precursor (105 nucleotides) under Canis lupus familiaris (dog). RNAcentral's name for it is "mir-8834 microRNA precursor family". It matches the Rfam family "mir-8834 microRNA precursor family". The record is from Rfam by way of RNAcentral. Lineage: Eukaryota; Metazoa; Chordata; Mammalia; Carnivora; Canidae.
AGGAGGAACAGCCCCAGUGGUGGGGCCAGCCCUGGAGCCCUGGAGUCAGCCCCCGCAGGAACUCCGGAGCUCUCCGUCUGCAGGGCCUGGAGGCUCCGGGGCGGG